RNAcentral lists this long non-coding RNA (999 nucleotides) under Apteryx rowi (Okarito brown kiwi). RNAcentral's name for it is "lncRNA (ENSARWG00000003421.1)". Lineage: Eukaryota; Metazoa; Chordata; Aves; Apterygiformes; Apterygidae. The record is from RNAcentral.
AAAGCCUUCAAAGCUAAAUUAAAUUUAAGCCACUUUUGAGCAAUUGACAAGAUGGAGCAGAGCUAAUCAUGAACAUUUCCAUCACAAAUGCUUUUAAAAGGCAUUUUUUUUCUUUCCAAACUGCAAACAUUCUCACUUUCUGAAGUUUUUCAGUAUCAAGAUUGUCUUAAAAAAUAAAUGCAUAUUGCUUUUCAAUGUAGGUUUCUGAGGGUUUUGUUUUUAAAGAAGAGACAGGAACUGUAUUUUAAAGCUCGAGUUUUAUUUUGCUCUUUUUUUAUCGCAGUCUGGGUGUUUCACAGGAUGUUAAAAGAGAACCAAAUUAACAUGUUGUUCACAUAUUCCCAUGAAAAUCAAUUACUACUUUCCAUUGAGCUCUUAGGAAGGAACAGYAAACAUGAAAAAUGCAUUUAUUUGGGAGCUUAGAUAAUUAAAUAUAACUUGAGUUUCCUGACAUAUAUCUACUUACUGAAAAGGAGGUUUGGGGUUACACUAAAAGCAGUGGUUUUGUUUACUUUUAUGGGAACAGUCUAGAUUUACACCAAAUGUAUUUCUAAAAAGAAUUAUGAAGUUGAUGAUGAAUUUCUUUUGUGUUUUGAGAAAAAUAUCUUAACUGAAGAUUCUGCAAAGUGUAAAUUUUGUAGCGGUCCUGAAAAGCCAGUCCCAACAGUGGUAGAUCUGAAGGAACAACCCCAUGAAAAUGUUAAGUAAGGAAGGCUUUGAGAACUACAGGGAAAUAUUUCAGCGGUAUCUGAGAUCUGCUGCCUGGGGCAAAAUUUCAUUUAUACUCUCAGAAGAAAAUGAAUACACUGUCAGACCACAGACCGCUCCUUCCAAGAAGCAUCGACCAACAUCAGCACCUCCAGAAGAUCUGCUUAAGCUGGACCGUGAUUUUGUUGCAGAGCACUUAAAGGUGUGUGGUAACCUGUGGGAUCUCUUCUUGUUGCUUGUCAUGCAGGGUAUAAGGGGAUUAUACAGACAGCUGUAUCAUGUCAAAUACGG